AAGACUAAAACUCGUCAUUAAUACACUAUACAUAGACUGUGUUUUUCCAAUGGGUAAUUUUUAUAGAACCCCCUUGAUCUAGUGUUAUACAGUUCUGUUAGUCUUUAGUAAAGUUCUAAGGGAACUCUAGUGGAAGAAAGUUGUCAUAGAAUAAUAAGCACAAGAAGAAUGGCCACUCCAAUAUCAACCGUUAACAACAAUACCUACUACAUGUAUAAUAUACGUGGUGAUUGUGAAGCUGUACAGAUUGGAAAAUCAAACACAAUAUUAAAUGAAACUAAAAACCAGACCGACCCGGAUGAUCGCACUUCCGAUAUGGAAGAUUUCCGGUUUAAAUUUAAUCGGAUAAAUGAACAAUUUGAAAGAAAAGAUGAAGAAAUAGCUGCAUUAAAAAACAGGGUGGCUGACCUGGAAGCAUUUAAGAAGAAAGUAGAACAAUCAGAAGUCAAGACAAACACCAACACUAAUACUAGACGUUAUAUCAGGGAUACCAGUAAUGACAUUACUCUAAAGUUGGUAUUUUGCCGAUGUAUAGAUAUGGGUACUAUAACUGUGAGUAAGAAAGUCAGUGUUAAUGAUUUAAUGAAGUUGAUAGAAGAGAAGAAGAAUGAGAAGAUUAGUCUGCUUGUUAUAGAGGGAUACAGACAUGGUAGUAUGAGAGUUAUCUACGACAGUGAUAGCAACAAGAACGACUAUAGCCUGGAACAACUUGGUGUUGUAGACCAGGACCAGGUUGUGUUCUGUUGAUAGUAAAAUAUAGAGAUUAUAUUGAUAUGAUGUAUUUAUGGUCUCCUUUAUAUUGAACAAUGAGGUGUGUCGGGUGGGGUAGGGUAGAUAUUACUUAUAGUAAAAUAUAAUGGAUGAACCAGAACGAGGUUAGGUAUUAUUAUCUUAUUGUCUCUUGAUUAGGUUGUGAGGGUGGAAUAAAGUAAAAUGUUAAAAUGUUAGAGUGGUGUAAUGUGGUGGGUGGGAGUGGUGUGUGUUUAGGGUGUGGUCAGUGGUGGUUGGUGGUGUUGGUGUUGUGUGUGAUGUGAUGGGUGGUAUACGUGGUUGGGUGGGUGCUAUGUUAGUGAUGAGUAUUACCAACCACAUCAGCACCCUAGUAUUUAACCAAGUAUCUUAUACCCCCCCCCCCCCAACCCCCAUGAUUGAUAUAUUGAAUCUUACUCUAAGUAAUAUCUAACCUGUCCCAACUGUCCACCUGUCCCACCUGUUAGUAUUUAACCAAGUAUCGUAUACCCCUCCCCCCCACCACCCCCAUGAUUGAUAUAUUGAAUCUUACUCUAAGUAAUAUCUUACCUGUCCCACCUGAUUGAUAUAUUGAAUCUUACUCGAAGUAAUAUCUUACCUCUCCCACCUGUUCCACCUGAUUGAUAUAUUGAAUCUUACUCUAAGUAAUAUCUUACCUGUCUCACCUGUCCCACCUGAUUGAAAUAUUGAAUCUUACUCUAAGUAAUAUCUAACAUCCUAAUAUAAAACUAGCUUUCUACUGUAAAUAAAGCUGUAAUUCAAUAGUCACGAUUAUUAGGUGAUAUGUAGUCGUGAUCAUGUGAUAACUAACUGACAUGUAUAUAAUAUAUAAUUAUAUUAGUUAAACAAUGUUUUAUAUUUUUUGUUCUAAUUUUGUUUCAAUAAAAUAUUUUAUAACUAAA
Molecule: long non-coding RNA, 1652 nt
Organism: Patella vulgata (common limpet)
Lineage: Eukaryota; Metazoa; Mollusca; Gastropoda; Patellidae
Exons: 3
Source: RefSeq, a predicted model, not a curated record